Xiphophorus hellerii (green swordtail) is the source of this 381-nucleotide long non-coding RNA. RefSeq lists it as uncharacterized. NCBI's taxonomy places the organism in Eukaryota, Metazoa, Chordata, Actinopteri, Cyprinodontiformes, Poeciliidae. The transcript has 5 exons. The record is from RefSeq and is a predicted model, not a curated record.
AGUAAAAGUGAAAUUUUGUAUUUUGAUCAAACAACAGGAACACAUUUAUUAAACAUGUAUGCACAAAAAAACAGUUUUGCAACUUAAGAAUCAAUAAUUUUAGCUUCUGACUUUGUUCAAAACUGAGUGAGAAGAAAUUUAAAUUGUUAUUAUUCUUCAAUAUAUUUAUACAUAUAUGAAUAUAAUGAAGACUUUGGACACAUUCACAGCUUUUUUUUUAUCCAAACAGUUUCUGCUGAUAUAUAUGAAUUGUAACAUGAGAGUAAAUUACAGAAAGAGAAAAAGUUUCAUUCAAUAUGAGAACAAAGUUCCUGAAAUUGAAACUGAGUUACAUAAAUUUUAAAGACAUUUAAGCAUAAAUAAAUCCAGAUCUAUCAAGUA